GCUAGUGAAGUGGCGCGGCUUCGGCACGUGUGUCGCUCCCCGGGAUUCCUGGAUUACCCCUGUGCCUGGUGAAUUUCUCAGGCCGGGUCUCUCUUCAGGCGUCAGGAUGAAGGCAAGAAGAAAUAAAAAACAGCUCCCAAGCUUUCGAAAGUUGCUAAAAACUAGUAAAGUCAAACUUGAAAACAAGCUAAAAAAUAAGCAAUUUAAACAACAAAGCACUCUCAAGAAGUACCGAAAAGAACAAAGGAAACUAAGGCAAGCUGUAAAAGAUGCUGUGUCUAAGAAACCAAUUCCAUUGGAGGACCCAAAGGAUAAACGACGAGGUAAAAGGAUUGAGAGGAAAGAGGAAGAAGAAGAGGAAGCCCUUCCAUUAGAUAUGAUGGAUGAAGAUGACUUACAGUUAAUGAAGGAUUUAGGACAGAGAGCAUCUUUUCUAACAAGAGAUCUUUCUUCUAGUGAACCUGUUCAUACCAAGAAACGAAAGCAUGAGCGCAUUAUAGAUAAAUAUGAAAAAAUACCAAGAACUCUACAGACCUCCCCAGAGAAGGAACUGAUUCAUUUGCUUCCUAUCAAAGAUAAAAGUGGUAUAAUCCCACAGACCAGGGAGAAGCCAGUUAUUGACAGUAACAAAGAUGAAGAGGAUCAAGAAGAAGAGAUGGAACUUGAGGAAGAGAUCAUUGAAGAUCCUGUUCGAGAGCUGACCAUAGAAGAACAUUUGAUUGAGAGGAGGAAGAAACUACAGGAGAAGAAACUGCAUAUUGCAGCCUUGGCAUCUGCUAUAUUAUCAGAUCCAGAAAGUAAUAUUAAAAAAUUGAAAGAAUUACGUUCCAUGCUGAUGGAACAGGAUCCUGAUGUGGCUGUUACUGUUCGAAAGCUGGUGAUAGUUUCUCUGAUGGAAUUAUUUAAAGACAUUACUCCUUCGUAUAAAAUCCGACCCCUUACUGAAGCAGAAAAAUCUACCAAGAUGCGCAAAGAAACUCAAAAGUUGAGAGAAUUUGAAGAAGGCCUUGUUAGCCAAUACAAAUUUUAUUUGGAAAAUCUGGAGCAAAUGGUUAAAGACUGGAAACAAAGGAAGCUGAAGAAAAGUAAUGUAGUUUCCUUGAAGGCAUACAAAGGACUGGCAGAAGUGGCUGUGAAGAGCCUGUGUGAGCUAUUGGUGGCACUACCUCAUUUUAACUUUCACAACAACAUCAUUGUAUUGAUUGUCCCCCUCAUGAAUGACAUGUCGAAAUCGAUAUCUGACAUAUGUUGUGAGGCAGUAAAGAAACUCUUUAAACAAGAUAAAUUAGGCCAAGCUUCUCUUGGUGUAAUUAAAGUGAUUUCUGGUUUUGUGAAGGGCAGAAAUUAUGAAGUUAGGCCAGAGAUGUUAAAAACAUUUUUGUGCCUAAGAAUCAAGGAAUUAGAAGUGAAAAAAGACACAGAGGACAUUAAUAAGCCAAAAAAGUUCAUGACUUUCAAGGAAAAGAGAAAAACUCUAUCAAGAAUGCAGAGAAAGUGGAAGAAAGCAGAAGAGAAACUAGAACGAGAGCUUCGGGAGGCAGAAGCUUCAGAGAGUACUGAGAAAAAACUUAAACUUCACACAGAGACUCUGAAUAUUGUGUUUGUAACCUACUUCAGAAUAUUGAAGAAAGCCCAGAGGUCACCUCUCCUGCCAGCAGUUCUAGAAGGUCUUGCCAAGUUUGCUCACCUUAUAAAUGUGGAGUUCUUUGAUGAUUUAUUGGUAGUUCUUCAUACUCUCAUUGAGUCUGGAGACCUAAGCUAUCAAGAAAGUCUUCACUGUGUCCAGACUGCUUUUCAUAUACUUUCUGGACAAGGUGAUGUUCUGAAUAUUGAUCCAAUGAAAUUCUAUACACAUCUCUACAAAACACUGUUCAAGUUACAUGCAGGUGCUACCAAUGAAGGUGUUGAGACUGUACUCCAGUGCCUUGAUGUUAUGCUGACUAAGCGCCGAAAGCAAGUUUCUCAGCAGCGAGCCCUCGCCUUCAUCAAGCGCCUUUGUACCCUUGCUCUUCAUGUUCUUCCAAAUUCAAGUAUUGGCAUUUUGGCAACUACCAGAAUAUUAAUGCAUACUUUCCCAAAAACAGAUUUGUUACUUGACAAUGAAUCUCAGGGAAGUGGGGUUUUCCUCCCUGAGCUGGAUGAGCCCGAGUACUGUAAUGCUCAGAACACGGCGCUGUGGGAAUUGCAUGCCCUGCGGAGACAUUAUCAUCCCGUAGUGCAGAGAUUUGCAUCUCACCUGAUCGCCGGAGCACCUUCUGAAGGCUCCGAAGCACUCAAACCGGAGUUGAGCCGAAGAUCUGCUGCUGAACUUUUUGAGGCCUAUAGCAUGGCAGCAAUGACAUUCAAUCCUCCUGUUGAAUCUUCAAACUCCAAAGUGAAGAGUAAAGUGUUACAAGGAGAUUCAUUUUUGAAUGAAGAUUUAAAUCAGCUAAUCAACAGACAUUGCAAUGAGGUUGUUACUCAGUCGCCCCUGGAUUUUACCAAAUAUUUGGAAACAUCACUACAGUAGAAGAAUGAAGAGUCAGUGGAAUUUCUUAUAUAUGUGUGUGUGUGCAGAUUCACAUAAAGAUGAGUUGUUACCUCAGGACCUUUUCUUUUUAUACAAGGAGAACUUCUUAAGAAUGAUGAGGAAGGGAAGGAAGAAUUACCCUUUUUUGUACGGCACAGGGUUCUGCCCCAGAUCUGAAAAUGUCAUUUUGUUAAGGAGAUUGAAAGCCAUUUCCCCCCCAGUAUUUGGAAAUUUCUUUCAUUAAGAUGCUGACUUUUUAAAACUUCAUGUACAUAUUAAAUUAUAGUUUGAAAACCAAAAUCUUACUGAAAUGGACUGGAUCUUACUGAAAUGCAGUUGCUAUAUUAAAAUUAGGGCAUAGAGCACAGAAAAAUCAAGACCGUGAGAAUACUUUUUGCCAUUUACCUACUGUUUAUAACUAAAUACUCUUUAAAAUUAAAUAGAUAUUAUUUUUAUUCCAACACUACAGAUGGAAAUAAGAAACAUUUUAAAUUUGAGUGAAUAUAUUUUUAUGAAGAUUUUUGAGGAAAAAUUGGACUCAGGUUUAUUGGCUUUUGCUGAUACACCUCAAGAAGUAAGCUAAUUAGGCCUUUUUAAAAAGGAAUGAGUAUUUAUUAUGGCUACUUUCAAAGAAAGUUUGAAAGUGAUUGAGUCUAUUUGAAGUUCUUUGCAUUUUCUCACAUGCCCUGAAGGGUGAUGGGGGAAGAGUUGCUCCAAGGCAGAAGAACCAAGUCCAAGACUUUACCAUUCUGUUCCAGGGACAAAGGAUGGGUACCCAGUGAGGGGCUCCCCUCUGCCCUCAACAGGUCCCCAUGGUUCUAGAACUUCAUUCAUAAGAUGAACUGUCAGUGCACAGACAUCUGAUUUAUCCCAAUAACUUAUACUGAGGAAAGGGAGAGGCUUUUACCUGCUGAAUGACAUCCUGUGCGGUGCUGACUCGGGGCGCUUUGAUGACUGUUCGAGGUUGCUCUGGAGAAACAUCAUGCACUUGGACGAAGAAACUCUCCUCCUCUGUGCUCAAGAUCACCUCUUUGUCAUCUUGGACAAUGCUUUUCUCUUCCAGAUUCUAUGUAAAAAAGAAAAAAAGUUGUGAGUAAAAGCAAGCAGGGACCACUGAUGGACAUUUUACCAGUCAAGCUCUAGUACGUGCCCCAAAGGAGCGGAUCACAUUGCCCAGAACAGAGCCUGGCACAUACUAGGUGCUCAAUUACCACAGAAGACUGAACUCGAAGGGAGUUCACGAUGAAGACACUCCCUUUGCUGCCUUCCUAGGAGAAGUAGCUUGCUGAUGACAGAAAGCUGCCACCAUCUGGACUAGAUUAAGCAAACACCCUUCUACUCAGGCCCUUGCCAAUGAGGCAAAGACCAGAGCUAACACGUCUCGCUGGGAGGAAAAGCAGAGUGUAAUCUGUGGGGGUGGUGGGGGCAGAAGAUUCUCAGGAAGACUCUGGUCCCUCCAGCCCAGCCCUUGGUCUGUAACCAACUGUGCUAUUGACUCUAUGGGGCCAAAGCAAACAGACUGAUUUAAGCAAGUAACCACUACCACAGGGAUACUCCUGGAGGUCAGCUGGCACUGUCACCUCCACGACAGGGCCAGUGUCACCCCCUGCUUAGUCCUGCCUUAUAUCCAUGUGUUUAUUUGCGUGGUGACAAUAAAGCAAUGGGCUUCUUUUCAUGGGUGGCUCAUAGAAAGAUUUCCCUACUCUAAAAAACCUCAACACUGCUUUGCGAUAGUGGACAUUGACGUUCAGAAACUGACGGAUUAAAACAAAACAAAAACA
This is an RNA transcript of Lemur catta (Ring-tailed lemur), 4290 nucleotides long. It is a transcript of the gene named NOC3 like DNA replication regulator, with no coding region annotated. The record is from RefSeq and is a predicted model, not a curated record. NCBI's taxonomy places the organism in Eukaryota, Metazoa, Chordata, Mammalia, Primates, Lemuridae. The transcript has 24 exons.